RNAcentral lists this ribosomal RNA (233 nucleotides) under uncultured bacterium. RNAcentral describes it as "partial 16S ribosomal RNA". It matches the Rfam family "Bacterial small subunit ribosomal RNA", at positions 100 to 334 of the family's 1533-position model. The record is from RNAcentral.
CGGCACGGGUGAGUAAUACAUCGGAACGUGUCUUCUAGUGGGGGAUAACUGCCCGAAAGGGCAGCUAAUACCGCAUGAGACCUGAGGGUGAAAGCGGGGGAUCGCAAGACCUCGCGCUGGAAGAGCGGCCGAUGUCCGAUUAGCUAGUUGGUGAGGUAAAGGCUCACCAAGGCGACGAUCAGUAGCCGACCUGAGAGGGUGACCGGCCACAUUGGGACUGAGACACGGCCCAA